RNAcentral lists this ribosomal RNA (422 nucleotides) under uncultured archaeon. RNAcentral's name for it is "partial 16S ribosomal RNA". It matches the Rfam family "Archaeal small subunit ribosomal RNA", at positions 323 to 746 of the family's 1478-position model. The record is from RNAcentral.
CUACGGGACGCAGCAGGUGCGGAACUUUUCCAAUGCGCGCAAGCGUGAGAGAGCAAUCUGAAGUGUUAAUCUUUUUAGAUUAACUUUUGUCUUGUGUAGAAAGCAAGACGAAUAAGGGCUGGGUAAGACCGGUGCCAGCCGCCGCGGUAAUACCGGCGGCCCAAGUGGCGCUCGAUUUUACUGGGUCUAAAACAUUCGUAGCCGGUUUUGUAAGUCUUAUGUUAAAUCAUUACUCUUAAGGUAAUGGCUGCAUAAGAUACUACUUGACUAGAGACUGGGAGACGUAAUGAGUACGAUCAAGGUAACGGUAAGAUGUUUUAAUCUUGAUUGGACUAAUAAUAGCGAGGGCAUGUUACGAGAACAGAUCUGACGGUGAGGAAUGAAGGCCAGGGGCGCAAAACGGAUUAGAUACCCCUGUAGUC